UGAAAUGGCUGUGCAGAGAUGACUUCAGU
RNAcentral lists this non-coding RNA (29 nucleotides) under Rattus norvegicus (Norway rat). Lineage: Eukaryota; Metazoa; Chordata; Mammalia; Rodentia; Muridae. The record is from RNAcentral.